GAUCAUGGCUCAGGAUGAACGCUGGCGGCGUGCUUAACACAUGCAAGUCGAACGAAGAUACUUAAAAUGAGAGCUUCGGCAGGAAUUUUAUUUAUCUGAGUGGCGGACGGGUGAGUAACGCGUGGGUAACCUGCCCUGUACAGGGGGAUAACAGUCAGAAAUGACUGCUAAUACCGCAUAAGACCACAGCACCGCAUGGUGCAGGGGUAAAAACUCCGGUGGUACAGGAUGGACCCGCGU
This 240-nucleotide ribosomal RNA is filed under the name uncultured bacterium. Its description in RNAcentral is "partial 16S ribosomal RNA". It matches the Rfam family "Bacterial small subunit ribosomal RNA", at positions 15 to 236 of the family's 1533-position model. The record is from RNAcentral.